GGCCUGGUUGUGGGUCGCCACCAAGUGAGCCGGUGGCAACCGCAACUGGAACUCCCCCGAUGAUCUUAAUAGGGUUCAUGGAGAAGAAGGCUCUCUCUUAAAUACCCUGGCCCAAGCUGUUCAGGGCUUUAUAGAUACCAUUAUCAUCGCCGCCACCACCACCACCACCACCACCACCACCACCACCACCACUUUUAUUAUGGUCACUAACCAGAGACAAUGAAGCUGGCCUUGAGAACCACCGGGAGGUGCACAGCUCUCAGCGGCAGACUCAGCUAUGAAGCCUGGCUGAUAAACAAGAGUCAGAACAAUCCGGAAGAUUUACCGCUUGGAAUGAUAAGCAGAUAGUGUUGCAGAAGAAAUAUGCAGAAAGGUAUUCUGUGAGCAGGUGAGACCUGACAUUGACCAGACACUUGAAGACAGAUUCCAAGAGGGGGAGAAGAAAGCAGGAAUCCAUCCUCCUCUGCCGCUGCAUACACACACUCCAAGAGCUUGGUAUGACCUCCGACUCACCCAUCAAGGCAUAGGCUUAUGUUACAUCCCGGAGCUGAGUAAUUACCUCAGUCACUACCACCCAGGCUUGGCUGCACAUCUGGCUUUCCCA
Hemicordylus capensis (graceful crag lizard) is the source of this 604-nucleotide long non-coding RNA. RefSeq lists it as uncharacterized. Lineage: Eukaryota; Metazoa; Chordata; Lepidosauria; Squamata; Cordylidae. The record is from RefSeq and is a predicted model, not a curated record. The transcript is spliced from 3 exons.